This is a long non-coding RNA of Homo sapiens (human), 833 nucleotides long. RefSeq lists it as uncharacterized. The transcript is spliced from 3 exons. The record is from RefSeq and is a predicted model, not a curated record. NCBI's taxonomy places the organism in Eukaryota, Metazoa, Chordata, Mammalia, Primates, Hominidae.
UGCUGCCCUCAGGAUCUCCCGGCCCCUCUCGUCCAGGCCCCUGCAACCCCAUGCCCCAGCCUCUGAGGACCAAAGGCGCCCCUGCUUGGGAAGAGGGGGCUCAGGGGAGUCGCCUGACCCGGUUCCAAGCCAGGCUGAUUUACCGUUGCUAACAUCCUAUCGCACGCAUCCCUCUGCCUCAUGCACCCAACCCCAAGGCCUGGUACACUGCAGGCCCCAAGGUCCUGUGCGUCCUUUCAAUACCCUCCUCACCUGCCUCACCUGCCCCCCCUACCCUGACUCUGGCUGGAGACCCCCUCCAGGGAGUUUUCAAAACAAAGGGUGUCAGUCUCCUGUGGGAUUCCCUCACCUCUGCAGCCUGCGGUCUGAAAGCUGCCCCAUGGUGUGUAGUGCUAAACUUCCAACUUACUCCAGGCCAGCGGUGACAGCCCGAGGGCAGGAAGGGCACCCACACUGAGCCUCAAACAGCUAAUUUUGCAACUGUGCCCGGCUCAGAGUGUCCCCUACAAGGCUACUGGAGGAGAACCCCAGACCGAGCCUCAUUCAGGGGGUCUCGGUUUCCUCAUUUGCAAACUGGAGCUCAUAAGGUGGGCCAGAGAAGUUUCAGUGAAGUGAGGAAUGGAUCGUCCCUCUGCCAGGGCCCAUGUGCUCUAGGUCACCCUGUCAUCACAGGGACAGGGAGGUCAAGGACAGUCACUCCUGAGGCCAGUCCGGGCUGGGCUGACCACGUGGACUCUCAUGCCCAGAUUGGGGCCCCAAUCUCCCUGAAGCUGGGGCUCCAGCUGUGACUCAGGGGUGGGCAGAAGGGGAGACAGAAGCGAUAGGUUCCUCAG